RNAcentral lists this ribosomal RNA (465 nucleotides) under uncultured bacterium. RNAcentral's name for it is "partial 16S ribosomal RNA". It matches the Rfam family "Bacterial small subunit ribosomal RNA", at positions 28 to 507 of the family's 1533-position model. The record is from RNAcentral.
GACGAACGCUGGCGGCGUGCUUAACACAUGCAAGUCGAACGGAAAGGCCCUGCUUGCAGGGUACUCGAGUGGCGAACGGGUGAGUAACACGUGGGUGAUCUGCCCUGCACUUCGGGAUAAGCCUGGGAAACUGGGUCUAAUACCGGAUAGGAGCCAUUUUUAGUGUGAUGGUUGGAAAGUUUUUUCGGUGUAGGAUGAGCUCGCGGCCUAUCAGCUUGUUGGUGGGGUAAUGGCCUACCAAGGCGGCGACGGGUAGCCGGCCUGAGAGGGUGGACGGCCACAUUGGGACUGAGAGACGGCCCAGACUCCUACGGGAGGCAGCAGUGGGGAAUAUUGCACAAUGGGCGCAAGCCUGAUGCAGCGACGCCGCGUGGGGGAUGACGGCCUUCGGGUUGUAAACUCCUUUCGCUAGGGACGAAGCUUUUUGUGACGGUACCUAGAGAAGAAGCACCGGCUAACUACGUG